CGUCUAUAUACGUAUAGCAUAUCAAUAAGCGGAGGAAAAGAAACUAACUAGGAUUCCCUUCAGUAACGGCGAGUGAAGCGGGAAGAGCUCAAAUUUGAAAUCUUCAAGGUUUCUACCUUGACGAAUUGUAGUUUAAAGAAGUGUUUUCUGUUGGAAUUUUGGUAAAAGUUCUUUGGAAAUAGGACAUCAUAGAGGGUGAGAAUCCCGUAUUUGACCAUUAUUUUCAGCUGUGUGAUACACUUUCAAAGAGUCGGAUUGUUUGGGAAUGCAGUCCAAAAUGGGUGGUAGAUUUCAUCUAAAGCUAAAUAUUGGCGAGAGACCGAUAGCGAACAAGUACCGUGAGGGAAAGAUGAAAAGAACUUUGAAAAGAGAGUUAAACAGUACGUGAAAUUGUCAAAAGGGAAGCGUUUGACACCAGUGUUGUUUUUCCGAAAAUCAAUUAAGAGUGGCUUGAUUUUGUGUUGUAUUGACCUUAUCAGCUUUCUUCACUCUUUUUCGAGUCUUUCUUAAUGCACUUUUCGGUUAACAAGUCAACAUCAAUUUCUUUUGUUGUAAAAGGGUAUUUGGAAGGUGGCUUUCUUUUCGGAGAAAGUGUUUAUAGCCUUAUACCUCUACAAUCGGAGAGAUUGAGGUCUGCAGCGUAGAUCCUUCGGGGCUAGAUACACUUGUGCUAAGUUAUAGCUUUUCAUAGACAACUUGUUGACUAUGUUUAGUCAUGUAGCUUACCCGCUUGUGCUAUUUUACCUACGCUUAGGAUGUUGAGUCAUCACACAUCUCU
Molecule: ribosomal RNA, 778 nt
Filed under: uncultured Neocallimastigales
Lineage: Eukaryota; Fungi; Neocallimastigomycota; Neocallimastigomycetes; Neocallimastigales
Description: partial large subunit ribosomal RNA
Rfam family: Eukaryotic large subunit ribosomal RNA
Source: RNAcentral